GAUGAACGCUGGCGGCGUGCCUAAUACAUGCAAGUCGAGCGAAUGGAUUAAGAGCUUGCUCCUAUGAAGUUAGCGGCGGACGGGUGAGUAACACGUGGGUAACCUGCCCAUAAGACUGGGAUAACUCCGGGAAACCGGGGCUAAUACCGGAUAACAUUUUGAACCGCAUGGUUCGAAAUCGAAAGGCGGCUUCGGCUGUCACUUAUGGAUGGACCCGCGUCGCAUUAGCUAGUUGGUGAGGUAACGGCUCACCAAGGCAACGAUGCGUAGCCGACCUGAGAGGGUGAUCGGCCACACUGGGACUGAGACACGGCCCAGACUCCUACGAGAGGCAGCAGUAGGGAAUCUUCCGCAAUGGACGAAAGUCUGACGGAGCAACGCCGCGUGAGUGAUGAAGGCUUUCGGGUCGUAAAACUCUGUUGUUAGGGAAGAACAAGUGCUAGUUGAAUAAGCUGGCACCUUGACGGUACCUAACCAGAAAGCCACGGCUAACUACGUGCCAGCCGCCGCCGUAA
This 515-nucleotide ribosomal RNA is filed under the name uncultured bacterium. RNAcentral's name for it is "partial 16S ribosomal RNA". It matches the Rfam family "Bacterial small subunit ribosomal RNA", at positions 28 to 523 of the family's 1533-position model. The record is from RNAcentral.